RNAcentral lists this ribosomal RNA (1408 nucleotides) under Lactiplantibacillus pentosus. Its description in RNAcentral is "bacterial SSU rRNA". It matches the Rfam family "Bacterial small subunit ribosomal RNA", at positions 30 to 1403 of the family's 1533-position model. Lineage: Bacteria; Bacillati; Bacillota; Bacilli; Lactobacillales; Lactobacillaceae. The record is from RNAcentral.
CGAACGCUGGCGGCGUGCCUAAUACAUGCAAGUCGAACGAACUCUGGUAUUGAUUGGUGCUUGCAUCAUGAUUUACAUUUGAGUGAGUGGCGAACUGGUGAGUAACACGUGGGAAACCUGCCCAGAAGCGGGGGAUAACACCUGGAAACAGAUGCUAAUACCGCAUAACAACUUGGACCGCAUGGUCCGAGUUUGAAAGAUGGCUUCGGCUAUCACUUUUGGAUGGUCCCGCGGCGUAUUAGCUAGAUGGUGGGGUAACGGCUCACCAUGGCAAUGAUACGUAGCCGACCUGAGAGGGUAAUCGGCCACAUUGGGACUGAGACACGGCCCAAACUCCUACGGGAGGCAGCAGUAGGGAAUCUUCCACAAUGGACGAAAGUCUGAUGGAGCAACGCCGCGUGAGUGAAGAAGGGUUUCGGCUCGUAAAACUCUGUUGUUAAAGAAGAACAUAUCUGAGAGUAACUGUUCAGGUAUUGACGGUAUUUAACCAGAAAGCCACGGCUAACUACGUGCCAGCAGCCGCGGUAAUACGUAGGUGGCAAGCGUUGUCCGGAUUUAUUGGGCGUAAAGCGAGCGCAGGCGGUUUUUUAAGUCUGAUGUGAAAGCCUUCGGCUCAACCGAAGAAGUGCAUCGGAAACUGGGAAACUUGAGUUGCAGAAGAGGACAGUGGAACUCCAUGUGUAGCGGUGAAAUGCGUAGAUAUAUGGAAGAACACCAGUGGCGAAGGCGGCUGUCUGGUCUGUAACUGACGCUGAGGCUCGAAAGUAUGGGUAGCAAACAGGAUUAGAUACCCUGGUAGUCCAUACCGUAAACGAUGAAUGCUAAGUGUUGGAGGGUUUCCGCCCUUCAGUGCUGCAGCUAACGCAUUAAGCAUUCCGCCUGGGGAGUACGGCCGCAAGGCUGAAACUCAAAGGAAUUGACGGGGGCCCGCACAAGCGGUGGAGCAUGUGGUUUAAUUCGAAGCUACGCGAAGAACCUUACCAGGUCUUGACAUACUAUGCAAAUCUAAGAGAUUAGACGUUCCCUUCGGGGACAUGGAUACAGGUGGUGCAUGGUUGUCGUCAGCUCGUGUCGUGAGAUGUUGGGUUAAGUCCCGCAACGAGCGCAACCCUUAUUAUCAGUUGCCAGCAUUAAGUUGGGCACUCUGGUGAGACUGCCGGUGACAAACCGGAGGAAGGUGGGGAUGACGUCAAAUCAUCAUGCCCCUUAUGACCUGGGCUACACACGUGCUACAAUGGAUGGUACAACGAGUUGCGAACUCGCGAGAGUAAGCUAAUCUCUUAAAGCCAUUCUCAGUUCGGAUUGUAGGCUGCAACUCGCCUACAUGAAGUCGGAAUCGCUAGUAAUCGCGGAUCAGCAUGCCGCGGUGAAUACGUUCCCGGGCCUUGUACACACCGCCCGUCACACC